This 489-nucleotide ribosomal RNA is filed under the name uncultured bacterium. RNAcentral describes it as "partial 16S ribosomal RNA". It matches the Rfam family "Bacterial small subunit ribosomal RNA", at positions 29 to 506 of the family's 1533-position model. The record is from RNAcentral.
AUUGAACGCUGGCGGCAGGCCUAACACAUGCAAGUCGAACGGUAACAGGAAGAAGCUUGCUUCUUUGCUGACGAGUGGCGGACGGGUGAGUAAUGUCUGGGAAACUGCCUGAUGGAGGGGGAUAACUACUGGAAACGGUAGCUAAUACCGCAUAACGUCGCAAGACCAAAGAGGGGGACCUUCGGGCCUCUUGCCAUCGGAUGUGCCCAGAUGGGAUUAGCUAGUAGGUGGGGUAACGGCUCACCUAGGCGACGAUCCCUAGCUGGUCUGAGAGGAUGACCGGCCAACUGGGAAUGGGACACGGGGCCGAACCCCACGGGGGGGAAGAGGGGGGGAAUUUGGACAAAGGGGGCAAAGCCUGAGGCAGCCAGGCGGGGGGAAGGAAAAGGGCUUUCGGGUUGUAAAGUAUUUUAAGCGGGGGGGAAGGGAGAAAAUUUAAUACCUUUGCUCAUGGACGUUCCCCGAAGAAGAAGCACCGGCUAACUCCGG